This 1133-nucleotide long non-coding RNA is filed under the name Homo sapiens (human). RNAcentral describes it as "HSALNT0267546". Lineage: Eukaryota; Metazoa; Chordata; Mammalia; Primates; Hominidae. The record is from RNAcentral.
AGAUGGGGUUUUGCCAUGUUGUCCAGGCUGGUCUUGAACUCCUGUCUCAAGCAAUCCACCCACCUUGGCCUCCGAAAGUACUGGGAUUACAAGCAUGAGCCACCACUAUGCCCAGCCUUCAUCUGUGCUAUUUUUAUGAAAACACAGUGCGAGAACAGAUGAAUACAGAGGAUCUCUGGAGCCCAGGAGUUCGAGCCCAGGAGUAAGCCGUGGUCACACCACUGUACUCCAGCCUAGGCAACAGAUUCUGUUCUCAUCUUGAUAAGAAUAACCAGUCAGGUGGCCAGGCACAGUGGCUCACGCCUGUAAUCUCAUCACUUUGGGAGGCCAAGGUGGGUGGAUCACUUGAGGCCAUGAGUUCAAGACCAGCCUGGCCAACAUAGCAAAACCCCAUCCCUACUAAAAUGCAAAAGUUAGCUGGCACAGUGGUGCAUGCCUGUAGUUCAAGCUACUCAGGAGGCUGAGGUGGGGGGAUGGCUUGAGCCCAGGAGGCAGAGCAAUCACACCACUGCACGGCAGCCUGGGCAACCGAGCUAGACCCUGUCUUAAGAAAAGAAAAGAAAAAAAAAGAAUAACCAGUCAGGGCACUAUAAUCUCACAUGGGUAACUGACCUGUAGCCAACCCCGCUAUUUGGAGUGAAGUUCAGGUCCAGACACAAGCACUUACAUACUUGAUGUCAGACAUCCAAGGCAGGCGGUAGACGUGGGAUGCUCAGGAGGAUACGCCCCAUGUGGCAUCUGAUCAAGUCUGGCUUAGGUGUAAGGACAACGUUCAGGACAAAAACUAUGCCUUUCCCAUUUUACCAUUGAAGAUGUCUUAGACAACCAAUAAAGUGGACGGUGUAGGACCACAGCCCUGCACAGCGACGUUCUUGCAUCACUCGGCUCAACCACAGGAAGUCUCACACCACUGAGUCUGACCACAGGAACGGGCAAAUGAAAAGUCAUGCAGCUAUAUGGGCAAUGGAACUUCCCUGCCUCCAGUUCCUGGCCAGGAAGUGGGGGCUGGGUGGAGAAAUCUGGAAGCUGCCUGCUUACCUACCAGGUCUCCACUCUGUUUUGCUAUGAAGCCUCUAAGCCUUGAUACCUGUUAAUGGAUGUAUUUGUUGUGAGAAAUAAAUGAGAUGGUGGGG